CCUACGGGAGGCAGCAGUGGGGAAUAUUGCACAAUGGGGGAAACCCUGAUGCAGCGACGCCGCGUGAGUGAAGAAGUAUUUCGGUACGUAAAGCUCUAUCAGCAGGGAAGAAUAUGACGGUAUCUGACUAAGAAGCACCGGCUAACUACGUGCCAGCAGCCGCGGUAAUACGUAGGGGGCAAGCGUUAUCCGGAUUUACUGGGCGUAAAGGGAGCGUAGACGGGAGCGUAAGUCUGGAGUGAAAUCCUAUGGCUUAACCAUAGAACUGCUUUGGAAACUGUGCAGCUAGAGUGCAGGAGAGGUAGGCGGAAUUCCUGGUGUAGGGGUAAAAUGCGUAGAGAUUAGGAGGAACACUAGUGGCGAAGGCGACCUACUGGACUAUAACUGACGUUGAGGCACGAAAGCGUGGGGAGCAAACAGGAUUAGAUACCCGGGUAGUC
This 440-nucleotide ribosomal RNA is filed under the name uncultured bacterium. Its description in RNAcentral is "partial 16S ribosomal RNA". It matches the Rfam family "Bacterial small subunit ribosomal RNA", at positions 338 to 795 of the family's 1533-position model. The record is from RNAcentral.